GACACCUAGUUCAAACUGAAUGAUAAAGAAGGGAGGGAUGGGGGAAGGGAAAGAGGGAGUUAUUGGUUUACAUUGGGUGGAAAGUACAGGAAUUGAUCUGGCUUUUGUCAGGAGGAGGAUCAGGGAAUCACGGGUUAGCAGGAUGUCAUGAGUCACCUGUGUCUCUCUCUAUUUCAGAUUCACUCUCCUCUGUGAAAUGACUUCAUAUUGGUGAGUCAUUAAUCAGGUGAUCAGGAAAUGUGGUUUUUGGCAGACAGUUGGGGUCAUGCAGCUUGAUAUUUUGGAGAAGUAGAACCCUCUCCUCUUCCAGAGGACACCUCAGGGCGUACAAAGUGCAAAACAUAAUGCCAAACAUACAAGCAUGAAGAGGAAAUAAUUUAGUAUUUUGCUCUCAAGGAGGAUCACAUUGUCUUCUAUCAGCAUUUUAAUGAAGCAUUGAGCUUUCUUGAGGUGUCAUUGAUAUACAAAGAACUGCACACAGUUAAUGUGCUCAACUAAAUGACUUCGGACAUCCACAAACACUCAUGUUACCAUCACCACAAUCAAGAUCCAAGAAGCAUAGCAAAUGCCACUGAUGAUAAAUACAAAGAGAACUACAGCUAGCCACAUCAUAUUCAAACUGUGGAAAGAUAAUGUUAAGCAGAAACUGUGAAGGCUGACAUUACAAAAAGGGGAAUAUAGAUACAAGUAACAACUGAUUUCUCGCUAGAAGCAAUGGAAGACACAAGAAAAUUGAAUGGAAUCUGGUAAGUGCUGAAAAAGACUGUUUACAUCAAAUACUGUAUCUAGCAAAAUUAUUUUUGCUAGAUGAAACAGUGAUGAAAUAAAGGCAUUUUCAGGUAAAGAAUAACUGAGAAAAUGGGUUGCCCAUAACCUUCACUAAAAUAAAUGCUUACAGGAAGUUCAAGCUGAAGGAAAUGACACAGAGGCUAACUCAGAUUUGCAGGAAUUAAUGACAAGAAACAGACAUGGUAAAUGUGGGAAAAUGUAC
Macaca mulatta (Rhesus monkey) is the source of this 991-nucleotide non-coding RNA. The record is from RefSeq and is a predicted model, not a curated record. Lineage: Eukaryota; Metazoa; Chordata; Mammalia; Primates; Cercopithecidae.